GGAAGUAAAAGUCGUAACAAGGUUUCCGUAGGUGAACCUGCGGAAGGAUCAUUAAUGAAUUGAAAGAGUCGUGGAUCAACUUCCAGGCUCGACCCUCUUCAUUUUCCUACCCUGUGCAUUUUUUAUUACCAAAGGUGGUCCUAACGUGCCGAAAGCUGCCUCUAUUAAGCAGUGAUUACGUUUUUAGGCUGCCGCUUUUUUACAUUCAAACUCUACAAGUUAAUGUAUGUUACAAAAACUAUAACAAAGAAAAACUUUCAACAACGGAUCUCUUGGCUCUCGCAUCGAUGAAGAACGCAGCGAAAUGUGAUAAGUAAUGUGAAUUGCAGAAUUCAGUGAAUCAUCGAAUCUUUGAACGCAUCUUGCGCUCUCUGGUAUUCCGGAGAGCAUGUCUGUUUGAGUGUCGUGAAAUCUUCAACCUCACCAUUUUCUUGUUGAAAUGCGUGAAGGCUUGGUUCUUGAGCGCUUUGCUCUCGGCUUGGUCCGCAGAGCUCGCUCGUAAAGCAUGAGUGUCGUCCAGCUUAACCAGUUUGGUCCGACUCGGCGUAAUAGUUUAUUCGCUGAGGAAUUUUUUCUUUUUCGCAAGAAAGGGAAAAAAACCAAACCCUGCAAGGAAGGCGCUUCGAACCCCUCCACACGAGCUUUUUAAACGGCUCUGAUCUAUUAGACCUCAAAUCAGGCAGGACUACCCGCUGAACUUAAGCAUAUCAAUAAGCGGAGGAAAGGGCGAA
RNAcentral lists this ribosomal RNA (731 nucleotides) under uncultured Rhodotorula. RNAcentral describes it as "eukaryotic LSU rRNA". The stretch from base 253 to 406 matches the Rfam family "5.8S ribosomal RNA". The record is from RNAcentral. Lineage: Eukaryota; Fungi; Basidiomycota.